This 5535-nucleotide long non-coding RNA is filed under the name Sus scrofa (pig). Its description in RNAcentral is "lncRNA (ENSSSCG00000052858.1)". The record is from RNAcentral. Lineage: Eukaryota; Metazoa; Chordata; Mammalia; Artiodactyla; Suidae.
UGCUUUCCAGUAAUCUAUUGCAUUAGUGAAACAUGGAAUCUGAUAGUUAAGAUUUGUCAGACAGUAUCCAACUCUAGGUAAUCUGUUUGGUAGUGUGGAAGUAAUUCCAUCUUAGUUGACUGGUUUGAGAAGAGCAUGAUCUGGAAGAAGAGAUAUAACUGGGCAAACCGGAAUCUAUUCCUUUUUAGGGUAGCAGUUAAGGUAAUGAUUUGUCGAAUGGAUUCAAGACAAAGGGCCAGCACCAUUAACCAGGAAGAAAAAAUGAUUAACCUAUGAGUGGCUAAAAUAUGAUCUCCAGAAGUGAUCCCACACCCCCUAAACGGAGAGCAUUGUAGAAAAAUUUCACUACACCAGAAAAAGUUUAUGCUUUGGAAAUUUGUCUUUCCUGCAGUGUUAUAAACAUCCUAGCCCCAAUCCUAACUACUCAGAGAGUAUUAUUUCUCCCCCUCUCCUUGGGCAAGCAAUUAAGAUGUCAGCUCCAAAUUUAGAAAGAGGAUUAAAAUAGGCUUAACGUUAAAAGGAUUGGCUUGUUGAGUAAAAUUUCCACUCACCAUCUUAUGUUUUAGAAAGUAGAAAAUUCCAUCAUCAAGGUGCUAUUUUGUUACAUGAGGUGGAAAGCUGAGUUAGGUAGGAGCAGGAAUCUAUGCUGACAGUUGUGUUGUUACCAAAGUUAAAUAGAGAAUCACAAGCAGCAAGGCAGCUCUGCAAAAAAAAACAAAUUAGAACCUGGAAGCUUCUUCUGGUUUAAAGACCUGGAGUUUUCCCAGCGGAGAGAUAAUAAUAACAGAAAAACGAUGUUUCCUACUGGAGACUAUUUAAACCUAUAUGAUUGGAAGCUAUAUCAUAGAGAGAAGAGCAUGGGAUUGGAACCUAGUAAUUCAGGCUCUUUCAUGUACUGAUUUUUAUAAACUAAGACAACUAACUCCACUUCCCUGAGUCUUGGUUUCUUUAACUGUAAGACAUGGAUAAUAAUACUUAUAUUUCAUAGUUGUUGUAAAAAUUAGAAAUAAUGUUAGUUGCUCAGUGCUAUGCAGCUGAGCAAUUCAAAUUCCACAGCUCAUGUCUUUAGUUCAAUGGAAAGUACAAAUUGAGAUGUAAGAAAUUAACAUUCAAGGAGAGUCUGUUACUUAAAAAAAAAAAACACUUUGAUACAAAUCAUUUUAUAAAGUAAAUAAUUCUGUGACAAUGUGGCAAUGGCUUAUUACUCAUUUAUAUUUUUAUAAAGGAGAUUUCUUUAAAAAGGAGCAUACAUCAACUUUUUUAGGACAUGACUCAAACAAAUGAUGUCCUGAGUCUUUGCACCAGAGACAACCUGGCCUGUGAUCUGCGGGUUAGAACCAUCUUUCAAGAAGCUUGCAAUAAAUGGUUUCUCCAGAAAUAAGGGUCACUUAUCCUGAUGCUGAGGGGAGAAAAAGAUGUCACUGUCCCUUCUCUAAAAAAGGUGUAUAAAAUGCCAAAUCAUCUGUGGUAUCUUUCCUUAAAAUUUCUCUACCCCAGCAAAUUGCUCCUUUUGCUAUUAUUCCAUAGCACUUUGUUCAUACCACAAUGUCCAUCUAUGUAGGAUAAGUACCAAUAAUAGCUAAUAUUUAUUAAGUACUUGUUAUGUGCCAGGUUCUGUACCAAGGAUUUGACAUAUAAUAAACCAUUUAAAUAUCUGUAUAAGGCUAAAAAGAAGGUGCUGGUAUUGCCUCCUUUAAUGCAUGAUAAAACUAAGUCACAAAGCAGCUAAGCCAUUUGCCAAAUGCUGUCUAGCUGGGAAGUGAUAUUGUCAAGGUCUGAAGACAGACCUGGUUUGCUUCCAUAGUCUAUGCUCUUAACUAUGUCAAGCUGGCAUUGCUUCUGUGGGUUGCACAUUUGAGAGUCAAUCCAUUGUAACUAUUUGGCUUAUUUGGUGGGAUAUUGUCGUUGAAGCAGGAUCUGCAAGAGCAGUAAUCCUGGUGAUGCAGAAAUAAUCAGUAAGAGAAACAGAGGGUGGCCAGAGAAAAGAUUUUUCUCCCUCAAAGUUUUUCUAAAGGCUACACUCAAAUGAGACAGAAGUCUAGAGUGCUGAUAUGCUGAUAAACUGCUUACCAAUGCUGAGCACAUUUGUCAACAACUGCAUUCUGUAUAUUAGAUAUGAAAUAAAGAAAAAUCAUCUAAUACUGUCUAUUUGUUCUGACUGGAGGAAUGGAAAAAGAGUGCCCGUACCCACACCCACUUGUUAGGGCUACUUAAUAUGGAUUCAUUUCCCUGAAAAUGCUCCAGACUUUUCUCCCUGCAGGAUAUAGUACCUUCUGCUCCCUCUGCAAGGUGACCUCUCAUUGUCAGCCUAAUUCUUCCUCCUCAUUCAUAUGAACUAGUGGGCAUCUUUGCAUGGGAACUCUUCCCUGACUCCUGUGCCCAAGUGUGGGACUUUGCCUCUUAUAGCCAUUACACUCUGUAUAGCUCUCUGCUGCCUGGCCUCCUGCCGAAAAGGCACAGGUGAAGAAAAACUUGCCAACUGGAAUCUUAAUUCUACUACUGACCAUCCAACAAACUUUAGGCAAGUUAUUUAUAUUCUCUAAGCUUCAAAUUUUUAUCAUGAAAAGAAUAAUAGCACCUAUCUCAUGAGUUUGUGGUGAGGAUUUUUUAAAUGAAUGUGAAAAGCUUAAGAGUCCCUGGUACAGAGUGAAAUAUCUAUGGCUGCUAUUAUUAGUAAUAGUCAUAGGUAUUCCAUAAAAGUCUAUCAACUCAAUCCAAAGAGCUGGAGAUCAGAAUCACAAUACAUGGUCACCUUGGGCUAUUUUUAUCACUUUAGGGAGAUUUGAAGACAGUGAUUCUUAGAUGUCAGCUCUAAUUACUGACUUCAGGGUGACGCCAGAACUUACUGUCCUUGAUGGGGACCCAUGUUGAAACACUACUACACAUAUUCAUGUUUUUUUCUGGCCCAGUUGCUUUCUCCUCUGAACUCUGGGUUUCAAAUAUCACAUCAGCAUUUCCUCUGCUGACAGCGUUACAAGUUCAGGGAUACUGCUCCUUGGGGCAUGGUUGGCUGCUUCUGGUAAACAGUUCUCAGUGUGUUUACUAUAGUUUUGCAAAGAAGCUGGGGAGGAAUUGAGUUUGAGACCCUGGGGAGCAUCAUAGACAGAGGCAGAGGCUGAGAGUUGGCUUCAUUUCUUCUUUGAGAACACAUUCAGUUUGUCACCCCAUUUUAUUUAUUUAUUUAUUUAUUAUUUACUUUUUUUUUAAUAGCCACACCUGAGGCCUAUGGAAGUUUCCAGGUGAGAAGUCAAAUCAGAACUGCAGCUGCCGGCCUAUGCAACAACCACAGCAACAUGAGAUCUGAGCUGUGUCUGCAACCUAAACUGCAGCUCAGGGCAAGGACUGAUCUUUAACUCACUGAGUAAGGCCAGGAAUCAAACUUGCUUUCUCAUGGAUACUACAUUGUGUUCUUAACCUGCUGAGCCACAGUGGGAACUCCCAUCAUCCUACUUUAAAGUUGUAGAAAGUUAACUGUUUCUCCCGUUACCUUUCUGGAUGGCCCUCUCCCUCUAUGCAUUGCUCUUCUUUAUCAUUAAAUUUACUGGGACCCAGAGCCCUUUGGAACACUUCCCCCCUGGCAAUUCCAGGCUUCCAGGCUGCUGAGGGAGGUUGGAAAGGGUAGGACAGGGUCUAUCUUAUGAUCAUCUCCCCAUGUUCCAUGUCCCACUCCUACAAAUUGAUUUUAUAAUAGAGGCCCAUUUGAUUGCACCUUUGUUUCUGGCUCCCCUGCUUUGGACAUUUGAUUUCACUUCCCUAGGUAGCACAAUUGCUUACUUUCAAAUAAACAAAAAGGAAAUAGUUUUGGACCAUGGACUAAGAAACUAAAAUCACUUUCAUUCUAUUUUUAUAUUGCUAUGUGACCUUGAGCAAAUCAUUCCACUUCUCAGAUCCUCAGAUUUCUAGUCUAGGACAUUAGUAAACUGGAAUAUUUCUCUCUGGAAUUUGCUUUGGAAUUUUAUAAUUAUGUUGAAAGUGUAAGGCUCCUGGAAGGCUUAAUAGGUCAAUAUCCAGGGACAAGAGAACAUCCUCAGAUCCCUUCAUCAUCCUAUCAACAUCUCUCAAUAACCAGUUAAUGUACAAAUUUUGACUUUAUAUUUUAAAAAAAGGUAAUUUGUAAGGCUGGCUGAGUCAGAUCAUACCUGUCAUAGUCUAACCAGGUUUGCCAUACCCUGGGAUAAGUGGGAAGACCCAUCUAUGGCAAGAUUUUUCCAAUUUCCCUGAUAAAGUGUCUCCCGCAGAUUGUGUACUUCAGAGGGUGUGGAAUGUAAAUCUAAUUAGCAUGGUGAAAGGCUGGAAGUGCUUUCAUGUCUCAUUUUAUCCUCAAAUUCAUACACAUUUUAUGCUGUGAUGUUUGUUUUAAUAAAAACAAUGUCUGAGACUAUUAAACAUGAAGUAGAAUGAAUGCUCUAAAAAUAUGAAUUUGUUUGGUGCUGUAGGCACCCUUCUAGAGUAUAUUAACUUCAAUCCAAGAAUAAUUUAUAGUGUAGGUGGGAUCAAGAUGGCAGAGUAGGAAAAACCUGAGCUAACCUCCCCCACAAACACAUCAAAACUCCAAAUACAUAUAGAAAAUCCCUGACUGAGAACAACCUGAAGACCAGCAGAAUAACUCUUUAAAACCAAGACUAUAAAGAAAAAAACAAGAAGGAGUCUGGUAGGAGGGCAGGAGGAGUGAUUUAGUUGGGACUCAAGCCCCUAGCAAGUGACCCAAAAGAGGAGGGUGAUAUCAACAACUUGAGGAUGCACCUCAAGGAACAAGAGGUUCAAACCUGAUAUUAGCCACCCUAGCUCUAGGGUCAAGCACCAGGAAGAUGAGCCCCCUUAGCUGUUUUGAAAAACAGAGAGGCUUACAUGAGAGCUGAAAAAAACUUAGACUCUGCUCUUGAAGAGCACAUGCACAGACUUGCUUGUCUCAGUCUUGGAGCAGAGGCAGUAGCUUGAUAGUUGAUUUGUGUGCUGUCUCAUUUUCCAAGACUGCCUUAGCAUGUCCCUCAGCCCACCUGGGCUCCUGCUCCAGCACUACUCCCCACUAAGGCAGAGAUCUUCAUUGCAAUCAUGCACACACAUGUCAGGGAAAAGCAGAACUAGCUCAUAAGUGAGUUUCCAGGCCCUGAGGCCCCAGCCAUGCCUUCAACCAAGGCAAAGUCUGCCAUAACUCCAGGAAGAAGCCCAAAUUUCUCAGGGCAUCUGCUUCAGGCCUUUGGCCCUGUGAUAGGGCAGUGACCACUAUUGAGCCUGGGAGAAGCCUUGGCUACACACAAAACUGGCUCUAGUUUUUGUGACUCCAGUCCUACCUCCCACCAAGGUGAUGGCUGCCAGUACACCCUAGCACAAGACAUGGCCAAUGGUCAUUUCAGAUCCACCUCACCCACAGGAGCCAUUGGGCACACACAGACAUCAGGGAUGCUCCAACAAAAGGAUACUCUUUCAAGACUGGGACAGGUAAUUGCUACACAUAAUUUCACAGAGACAGAGAAAGUCAAAUAAAUUAAGAUGACAGAGGAAUAUAUUCCAAAUGAAAGAUCAAGAUUAAAAUCC